GUCUCUGUAGCUCAGUAGGAUAGAGCGGCAGCCUCCUAAGCUGUGUGUCGUGGGUUCGAUUCCCUCCAGGGACG
This 74-nucleotide transfer RNA is filed under the name Melampsora pinitorqua Mpini7. RNAcentral describes it as "tRNA-Arg (CCT) (tRNA-Arg-CCT-2-1)". It matches the Rfam family "tRNA". From Rfam's summary of the family: Transfer RNA (tRNA) molecules are approximately 80 nucleotides in length. Lineage: Eukaryota; Fungi; Basidiomycota; Pucciniomycetes; Pucciniales; Melampsoraceae. RNAcentral also lists the same sequence under 8 other names. The record is from RNAcentral.